CCUUAAAUGUGCAACUGUUGAAGUGCAUAGUUAACUGCUCCAUUUUUACAAAAUUAUAAUAAAGUUGUUUUGAAGAAUACAGUCUCUCUCCUUUUGGUUAGAAUUUCUACGACAAUUUUGUGACAGCGGUGGAAUGGCUAACUCCGCUUGCUGAUUGCUCCCGGGGAGAUGAGGUUAACUGUGCAGGGGUUGCGUCAGACGUGGCAGGGAGCCCCACACCCAGUGAGUGGAUACGCUAUUCCGAACAUACAAAAUUAAUUGAGGAUUUCAACCAGAAAAUGACGUCAUUAUGACGUCCCAUGCCAAAUUCUGCCCACUGGAGUGUGUGCAGCCAAGGACUGUAUAACCUGUUCACAUGCAAAAAGUACCUGGGCAUGUCCAGUCAAGACAAAAUAAAGUAAAUGGACUAACAAGACUCUUCAAGCAGACGUUGAGGGUGACCUUCACUUACACGAGCUCAAGAGAGCAAGCUACAGUAGAGACAAGAGAGACUUUUGAUUCCUUCAGCUGUGUUUGGGAAUGAGACUGAACGUGCAUUAGGUGCUGCUUCCAUCCUUUCCCUCCUCUCAUCCACUCCCAUAUGGCAGGCGUGUGGAUCUGGGCAUAGGGAGAGAGCGUCGGAGGGAGAAAAAAAAAAGAGGUCCCAUAUGUGUUUUUUCACUUCGUUAGUUCCAAAGCAUACAGAGGCCCUCUUCAGCAGAUCCAUUUAAAUCAAUGUGGUUUUAGAUGUCCAGAAAUGCAGCCCUCAUUUGCAUGAGAAGCUCACAUCACAAGCUGUAGAACGUAGGAAAAAAUAAGAAGUUAGACUCUCACACUGAGGGAUGUGCUUUAAUUAAAGGGACUUUCAAGUGAAUGCUUAUGGGCCUUGAACGUUGUACACAACAAUAUCAUCUGAUAAGAUCUCUAGGGAUUUUCUCAAAGGAGGCUAAGUGGAUCUGAAAAAUAUAAAAUGACUGUCAUUCUGUGUUUUCUUAGUAUUGCGACAUACACUCAGUGGCCAGUGUAUUCGGUACACCAUCUGGUUCAUGAAAAUGGUUAGCUCCUACAGGCAGUGAGUCAAGUGGCCGUGGCUUGCUAUAUAAAGCAGGCAGACAGGUAUUGAGGCUUUCAUUUACUGUUCGAUUGAAUGUUAGAAUGGGCAAAACGAGUGACCUAAGUGACUUUGAGCGUGGUAUGAUUGUCCAGUUCCAGUAUCUUAGAAACAGCCUCCUGGGCUUUUCACGCAUGACAGUGUUGUCAUGACUCUCUCUCCUUGGUGAGGAUCAAAGGCGCCAGAUCAGCUCGGCAAAGGGAUGACAGAUAGCCAAACCCCCCCUCUCUCCCACCAGAGAGGAAGGGGCGAGUUGGGCCGGUUUUAUGACUUAACACAGGUCAUAAACUUUCUCUCUCUUGCCCUGCAGUAUUGAACAAAGGAAUGUGCUGUGUGUAGAGAGAGACUCUUGACAAAACUUCAACAUCUAACAACGGACACUGGGACAAUAUAUUUCAACAUCCAAACGUUGGGUAUGAUGAGGGAUGGAAUAUGGAAAAUGGAUAUCUAUUUUGUGAUGUCAUUAAAAUGAUCAGAAAGACUGUAUAACAAGAUAACUGUAACUCUGAAAGUGUAGACGUCCUAGUUAUCAGGUUUGCAUCUAAAUGUUGUAUAAAAUAAAUUAUUAAGUAUAAGAAUACUUUUGAAAAGAUAGAAAUGUGAGUUUAGCCUUCUAAAUGAGAUAAUGGCUUUUCAUAUAAACCUGGGCCCAGUCAGUAACCACGCCAUGUGAUGUGAGCACAGACAUUGUGUCAACAGGACGGAAUGCCCUCCAAGGCCAGGGUGCUUAAAAGGACUCGCUGAGAAUUUAAAUACAGACCAGAGAACGUGAGGACGUGGUCCACACUUUGAAAUGGUUUAAACUACAAGACCAAAAAAUGGUAAGACCCUCUGAAUCUCUCGACGAGUGAAGAAGGUGAAGACUAGACCACACAUUCACAGUCUGCAGCUGGGUAUGUGAAGUAGUCUAGGACAAUUGACCAAAGACGGGAGGGAAGGACAGAUCUCUCUCACACUUGGAGGUAUGCAUUCUAAGAACACUCCAAGACAAAGAAGCCUACAACUAAGAAGGACAUUGUGACCUCCGGUGGACAACCAGUCUUACAUCGAACUACUCCCCAUAGACGGACCAAGUGGUUUCAACAGAGAGACGACAGAGAAAGACAUCUACGCGUAAAUAUAUGUUGCAUUUCUAAUCCGAAUGAGCGGUUGUUAGGGUGCUAAAUAUUCUGGAUAUGUUGAGCGUAGUUUUCAAAUGUAUGUACGAUAAGUUGACUCUCUCUCCCUCUCUUUAUCUUUCCCCAC
This 2335-nucleotide long non-coding RNA is filed under the name Salmo salar (Atlantic salmon). Its description in RNAcentral is "lncRNA (ENSSSAG00000095610.1)". Lineage: Eukaryota; Metazoa; Chordata; Actinopteri; Salmoniformes; Salmonidae. The record is from RNAcentral.